GACACCAUCCGCGCACAUUUCGUGAACCGGGCCAACAACAAUCAGUAUCACCCGCGAGGUCUCUGGGUCACUGUCCACCUUCCCUCUCACUCCACGGGAAAGAAAUGAACAUCUACGCCGAACUCCUCCUCCUCUUCUCGGUCGGCAUGGCGCCCACCGUCAUGGCUGUGGUGUUUCUCGUUUACAAGACCGCGCUACAUGAGGGAUCGAUCGCGUUAGCGUUACUCUUCGUGACCUGUGGAUGUUCCUUCUUAGCUCUGGCGAUCAAAUUUCGGCGAGACCGUCACGCCGGGCGAGAGGACCCAGAAGAGCCGGAAGACGUCCACUCCCCGUACGAGAUCAUCUCCCCCGGGGGGGAGCCUCCCAAAUACGAGCAACUGUACCCCUGCAAGAGUGCCUUAUCGCCCCCUGGUACCCUCCAUACUUCACCUCUCACUACGUCGUCACCGCAGAUCGAACCGACGCUAUACGUCAACCCGUGCAGCGAGUUCGCCUUCAGCCCGUCCUCUUCCUGCCACAGGCAAGAUAUCGCAGACCAAAAUGAAGAGGACGGUCUACCAUCCUAUUCAGAGGCCAUUGCCACCAUGAAGCUGAAGCAGAGCGAGCCCUGAAAGCGGCACUCCGAACCAUGAUGAAAUUCAACGUCAAACAAAAAUCGGGCUAAAAAAAAGGGGGGAAAAAUAUGAAAAAAAAUGUAUGAUUUCUUAUUUCGGCGAACACUAUCAACAAUGAAGGUUGAACGGAGUGUUCCUGCAUAUAUCGUCGACGCAAUGAGCUGUUGACAGCACACCGAGCAGGGAAGAUCAUUCGCUUGACCGCGUUUCUUCCCAGAAUACGUUUGGUUUCUUAGCUUGGCGAGGCAUUAUAAACGUUUGUUUGUUUGUUUGUAUAGGGUGUUUUUCCGUUGCAUGGAACCAGUGGUUCUUCAGCAACGGGACCAACGUUUUUACGUGACUUCCGAACCACGUCGAGAGUGAACUUCUAUCACCAGAAAUACACAUCUCUCACACCUCGAUGGAAUGCCCGAGAAUUGAAUUCGCGGCCACCGAGGUGGCAGGCCAAGGCAUUAUAAACGGGGCCGUUUCUUGCCCUUAACCUCAUCUCUUCUCUUCGGCGAAGGAAGGAGCUUCCGAUGACAUUCCGAGCCACGCAUGUUGUCUUGUGUGUGUCAGGUUGUGAACCAUCAUCAUCAAAGGGAAAUAUUUGUUCGUCUGGAUACAAGAUUCAAACUGUUUUGCUUUAAGACUCCUACAGUCGCUUCGGGUUCUUGACCACCCAACGGGAACCCUUUUUUUUUAUCGAAAUUAGACGGCAAUCGCAAAAUACUGUACGUACACUCUUUCGUCAAAGCGACACAGAAUACAAAUAAUUAUUUGUGAUAUGCUGGGCGCCUAGGACAACAGUCUAGGACAACAGGCUACAUUUCAUACAAAGGGAGAACUUAAGUCUACAGGACAUUUUCGAAUUUAGGUGGAAAUUUUAAAAACCUGGGUUAAUACGUUUUUCUAAAUAUGACAUAAAUCUUCUGUUUAACGUAAAUCAGUUACAUUUGCGCAAAAAUAACUGCGUAUAUCUAGCAGUUUUAAUGAAGGUUAUUCUCUCUCUCUCUCUCUCUCUCUCUCUCUCUCUCUCUCUCUCUCUCUCUCUCUCUCUC
This is a long non-coding RNA of Macrobrachium nipponense, 1654 nucleotides long. RefSeq lists it as uncharacterized. The record is from RefSeq and is a predicted model, not a curated record. The transcript is spliced from 2 exons. NCBI's taxonomy places the organism in Eukaryota, Metazoa, Arthropoda, Malacostraca, Decapoda, Palaemonidae.